AAAACCACUGCGACAAGCUGGAAAACACUGCAGAGAAGAGGGAACCUUCUGUGUCUGGGUUUGGGCACCUUCUCGCUUCCCCGACCGGGGCCCCGCACGGUCCUUGACGUGCACAUCAAUGCGGGGCCUGCAGUCACACGGCCUCAGCGGUGGCCACCGUGGUCCCUCAGGAUCCUGGGCAAAGGCUUCCCACAGAGGAAGUGUGGGACCCGCAAGUGUCGCCUGAGAGGCCGCCCAGCCCGGCGCCUCGCGGCUGAGCCUCCCCUCACACCAGGCAUGGGACCCUGGAAGCCAUUUUCUAAUCUGUUACAAAACAAAAUCUUCCAGAGCUAGAGUUUUAAGCCCACUUGUUAACACCUUGCAAAUCCAUGCAAAAUCCAGCUGACGUCAGGGAAGAUGGAAACUCACUGGAGAGAGUGAGAGCAGAGGCCACACCCGCCCGCAGCUGCCGGGCUCUGCUACGCCCAAGGCCACCUCUGAACCGGAGCCAGAGAGAAGCACGCUGCAUCAAACUGCCCAGCGAGGCUCAAGAAUAUUCCAGUAGGUCCACACGGGAAUAAAACUACACAUCAGCAAGAUCAAAAAGGUUUUCUGUGCUCCUAGUUCAACUUACAAAGUACAACCGUUUCUUGCUCCUGUCACCAGGAAGGCCUCGUGUGCGUUCGUGGAGAAAAGCAUGCGUGUCUCCCUAAACUCCCCUCUCUGCACUGGCCACUGGCGGGGACAGUCUCAGAACGGAAACCGAGCACCGACCCACCCUCCGGCCAGGGACACAGAGGAGCGCCACGUCCAGGCCCACCUUUCCACCCCCAGACCUCCUCGGGGCGGCAGAAACCGACACAACAGCCCAGAGGACAGGGGGGCGCUGCCGGGCCCGCAGGGCCGCCUCCACUUCCGGGCCGUGGCAACGAGGCUGGCCAGCAACCGGCAAAGUCACCGGCGGAGCGUCCCAAGCGCCAGGGCUGAAAGACGGCCGGCGGGUCCGCCACCAGAGGAGUGCGUUCUGAUCGCGGACACGGCCCAGAAGCAGGCACUGGACCCCCCCACCAGGGCUCUGACCAGCGCGCAGAAAGGCAGAAAGGCAGGGCCACCACAAGGGUCCAUCCCGAGCAAUGCGCAUUCUCCCUAGGAACCCAGCGAAACAGCACACUCUGCAAAAAUGCACGUGUCACUCUCAAACAAGGUCUCCAGGGGGCCUGGCCCCUCCUGUCUGAGGUGGGGCGGGCAGGGGACGAGAAGCCUGAUGGGCUCUGGGCCACCACUGCCUGCAGCCCUGACAGAGGUGGCGGUGGGGGCGACACCAGGCCCACGUGGACCCUGGCUCACAGGGACCCCUAAGAGGGCAGGACGGUGUGCGUGAGAGAGGCCUGGGGCAGGAGACCUGAGAAGAAUUCGGACCACACCAGCUUUUCCCUCUGAGAAAUGGGUCGACCCAGGCUCUGCUACCUCCGAGGUGCCGACGCAGGGAGAACACGGCCCGCCCUACAACAGGGACCGGCCCGUAAAACAGAACGUCUCCUAGAUUUCCGAAACUGGUCACUAGGCCCAAAGACCCCCAAUGCCCCCUUCCUGACCGUCCAAGGACGGACUCCAGGCCCCCCGCACCAGCAGGAGAGGGGGGCUGGGAGCAGGCCCGCCCAGGAUGGCGGGCCUGGCAGAUGGCGGCAGCCUGGGCUCAGGUCACCAAGGUACUCGCCAAGGCUGCCAGGCCAGUGUCCGGUGACAUCCCUGCACCGGGGGGUCUGGCCUGCCACCUGA
This is a long non-coding RNA of Leopardus geoffroyi (Geoffroy's cat), 1758 nucleotides long. RefSeq lists it as uncharacterized. The transcript is spliced from 2 exons. NCBI's taxonomy places the organism in Eukaryota, Metazoa, Chordata, Mammalia, Carnivora, Felidae. The record is from RefSeq and is a predicted model, not a curated record.